UGCAGUCGAACGGCAGCACGGACUUCGGUCUGGUGGCGAGUGGCGAACGGGUGAGUAAUAUAUCGGAACGUACCCAGUAGUGGGGGAUAACUAUCCGAAAGGAUAGCUAAUACCGCAUACGAUCUAAGGAUGAAAGCAGGGGAUCUUCGGACCUUGUGCUAUUGGAGCGGCCGAUAUCUGAUUAGCUAGUUGGUGAGGUAAAAGCUCACCAAGGCGACGAUCAGUAGCUGGUCUGAGAGGACGACCAGCCACACUGGAACUGAGACACGGUCCAGACUCCUACGGGAGGCAGCAGUGGGGAAUUUUGGACAAUGGGCGCAAGCCUGAUCCAGCAAUGCCGCGUGAGUGAAGAAGGCCUUCGGGUUGUAAAGCUCUUUUGUCAGGGAAGAAAAGGUGCGCUCUAACAUAGCGUACUGAUGACGGUACCUGAAGAAUAAGCACCGGCUAACUACGUGCCAGCAGCCGCGGUAAUACGUAGGGUGCAAGCGUUAAUCGGAAUUACUGGGCGUAAAGCGUGCGCAGGCGGUUUUAUAAGUCUGAUGUGAAAUCCCCGGGCUCAACCUGGGAACUGCAUUGGAGACUGUAAGGCUAGAGUGUGUCAGAGGGGGGUAGAANUUCCACGUGUAGCAGUGAAAUGCGUAGAUAUGUGGAGGAAUACCGAUGGCGAAGGCAGCCCCCUGGGAUAACACUGACGCUCAUGCACGAAAGCGUGGGGAGCAAACAGGAUUAGAUACCCUGGUAGUCCACGCCCUAAACGAUGUCUACUAGUUGUCGGGACUUAAUUGUCUUGGUAACGCAGCUAACGCGUGAAGUAGACCGCCUGGGGAGUACGGUCGCAAGAUUAAAACUCAAAGGAAUUGACGGGGACCCGCACAAGCGGUGGAUGAUGUGGAUUAAUUCGAUGCAACGCGAAAAACCUUACCUACCCUUGACAUGGCAGGAAUUCCGAAGAGAUUUGGAAGUGCUCGCAAGAGAACCUGCACACAGGUGCUGCAUGGCUGUCGUCAGCUCGUGUCGUGAGAUGUUGGGUUAAGUCCCGCAACGAGCGCAACCCUUGUCAUUAGUUGCUACGAAAGGGCACUCUAAUGAGACUGCCGGUGACAAACCGGAGGAAGGUGGGGAUGACGUCAAGUCCUCAUGGCCCUUAUGGGUAGGGCUUCACACGUCAUACAAUGGUACAUACAGAGGGCCGCCAACCCGCGAGGGGGAGCUAAUCCCAGAAAGUGUAUCGUAGUCCGGAUUGUAGUCUGCAACUCGACUACAUGAAGUUGGAAUCGCUAGUAAUCGCGGAUCAGCAUGUCGCGGUGAAUACGUUCCCGGGUCUUGUACACACCGCCCGUCACACCAUGGGAGCGGGUUCUGCCAGAAGUAGGUAGCUUAACCGUAAGGAGGGCG
RNAcentral lists this ribosomal RNA (1395 nucleotides) under Oxalobacteraceae bacterium PRE4B. RNAcentral describes it as "bacterial SSU rRNA". It matches the Rfam family "Bacterial small subunit ribosomal RNA". Lineage: Bacteria; Pseudomonadati; Pseudomonadota; Betaproteobacteria; Burkholderiales; Oxalobacteraceae. The record is from RNAcentral.